GACGAAGGUGGCGACCGUUGUUCGGAAUCACUGGGCAUAAAGAGCUCGUAGGCGGUGAGAAAAGUAGGGUGUGAAAUCCCUCGGCCCAACCGAGGAACUGCGCUCUAAACUGUCUUGCUUGAGGACCGAAGGGGACCACGGAAUUCCUGGUGGAGCGGUGAAAUGUGCAGAUAUCGGGAAGAACACCCGUGGCGAAGGCGGUUCUCUGGGACGGUACUGACGCUGAGACACGAAAGCGUGGGGAGCAAACAGG
RNAcentral lists this ribosomal RNA (253 nucleotides) under uncultured bacterium. Its description in RNAcentral is "partial 16S ribosomal RNA". It matches the Rfam family "Bacterial small subunit ribosomal RNA", at positions 524 to 776 of the family's 1533-position model. The record is from RNAcentral.